AAAAAAAUACCCUGAACAGUCAAUCAAUCAAUCAAUCAAUAAAAAGAAAGAAAAAUAAGUGAAGCACCUGAGCACAGCACACAAGACCCUUAGUAUUCUGGCCUUUGCUCUCUUGUUUCUCCUAGUUCAUGUUGCACAGGGCCCUUUAACAAUCCACAGUUCUCCUUUCUCACCUCUGCACUUUCAUGCACACUAAUCACUAAGCAUUUCUUUUUGUGUAGCAUGUGUGCCAAAACAGAACUUCCCCCGCUCAGUUCUGGGGAUCAAACCCAGGGCCUCAUGUAUGCCAGGCAAGCACUGGACCACUGAGCAACACCUGCAGGCCUCAGAGCCCUGAAAGCAGGGGUUUUGAUGAGUUGUUUGAUUAACAGUAUCAAAGCAGCCACAAUAUCAAAUCUCCACAAGGAAAUCUCUGUGUCAGAAUGCAAAACAACUUAUCUUCAAACCAGUGUGUCAAUUCGCCCUCUUUUCUCUCCUGUUCCCUCCCUGGCUAGGUUUUGAUGGCAAGGGAUUCUUCUAGCAUAAUGCAUGCAAUGCCACCAAGACCACACCACAGAGUGCAACCAUACUAACAAGAGAGAGGAGUUCUGUGCUAGCAUGCUCGUCUGGGCCUUUUUGCCCUCCGAACCACACCACCCUCCAGGGCUAUGCUUCAGCCCUGCCUGGAGCUCAUUCUGGGCAGUGGUGCAGGACAACAUAAUACACCCUGCUCAGAAAGAACGCGGAUCUGAUUGCUCAGGACCUGGACUCAGGACUGGCUGCCACCUAGAAAAGUUCUGGCAAUGCUGAUGCUGCUUAUCUGGAGACCACACUCUGAGACCCACGAACAGGAAGACGAAGAGCAGAAUGUCAGAGUCCAGGGCUGAGGACUGACACCAGGGCCUCAUGUGUGCCAGG
This is a non-coding RNA of Heterocephalus glaber (naked mole-rat), 897 nucleotides long. The record is from RefSeq and is a predicted model, not a curated record. NCBI's taxonomy places the organism in Eukaryota, Metazoa, Chordata, Mammalia, Rodentia, Bathyergidae.